RNAcentral lists this unclassified non-coding RNA (304 nucleotides) under plant metagenome. RNAcentral's name for it is "partial contains 5.8S ribosomal RNA, internal transcribed spacer 2, and large subunit ribosomal RNA". The stretch from base 1 to 105 matches the Rfam family "5.8S ribosomal RNA", at positions 50 to 154 of the family's 154-position model. The record is from RNAcentral.
GAAAUGCGAUAAGUAGUGUGAAUUGCAGAAUUCAGUGAAUCAUCGAAUCUUUGAACGCACAUUGCGCCCCUUGGUAUUCCAUGGGGCAUGCCUGUUCGAGCGUCAUUUGUACCUUCAAGCUUUGCUUGGUGUUGGGUGUUUGUCUCGCCUCUGCGUGUAGACUCGCCUCAAAACAAUUGGCAGCCGGCGUAUUGAUUUCGGAGCGCAGUACAUCUCGUGCUUUGCACUCAUAACGACGACGUCCAAAAGUACAUUUUUACACUCUUGACCUCGGAUCAGGUAGGGAUACCCGCUGAACUUAAGC